Molecule: ribosomal RNA, 908 nt
Filed under: uncultured bacterium
Lineage: Bacteria
Description: bacterial SSU rRNA
Rfam family: Bacterial small subunit ribosomal RNA
Source: RNAcentral
AGAGUUUGAUCAUGGCUCAGGAUGAACGCUAGCGGCAGGNUUAACNCAUGCAAGUCGAGGGGUAACAUUGUAGCUUGCUACAGAUGACGACCGGCGCACGGGUGCGUAACGCGUAUACAAUCUACCUUUUGCUGAGGGAUAGCCCAGAGAAAUUUGGAUUAAGACCUCAUGGUAUUAUUAAUUGGCAUCAAUAAAUAAUUAAAGGUUACGGCAAAAGAUGAGUACGCGUUCUAUUAGCUAGAUGGUGUGGUAACGGCACACCAUGGCGACGAUAGAUAGGGGCCCUGAGAGGGGGAUCCCCCACACUGGUACUGAGACACGGACCAGACUCCUACGGGAGGCAGCAGUGAGGAAUAUUGGACAAUGGAGGCAACUCUGAUCCAGCCAUGCCGCGUGCAGGAAGACUGCCCUAUGGGUUGUAAACUGCUUUUAUACAGGAAGAAACCCCCGCUCGUGAGCGGGACUGACGGUACUGUAAGAAUAAGGAUCGGCUAACUCCGUGCCAGCAGCCGCGGUAAUACGGAGGAUCCAAGCGUUAUCCGGAAUCAUUGGGUUUAAAGGGUCCGUAGGUGGAUAAUUAAGUCAGAGGUGAAAUCCUGCAGCUCAACUGUAGAAUUGCCUUUGAAACUGGUUAUCUUGAGUCAUUAUGAAGUGGUUAGAAUGUGUAGUGUAGCGGUGAAAUGCAUAGAUAUUACACGGAAUACCGAUUGCGAAGGCAGAUCACUAAUAAUGUACUGACACUGAUGGACGAAAGCGUGGGGAGCGAACAGGAUUAGAUACCCUGGUAGUCCACGCCGUAAACGAUGGUCACUAGCUGUUCGAACUUCGGUUUGAGUGGCUAAGAGAAAUUGAUAAGUGACCCACCUGGGGAGUACGUUCGCAAGAAUGAAACUCAAAGGAAUUGACGG